GAUGAACGCUGGCGGCGUGCCUAAUACAUGCAAGUCGAGCGAACAGACGAGGAGCUUGCUCCUCUGACGUUAGCGGCGGACGGGUGAGUAACACGUGUAUAACCUACCUAUAAGACUGGGAUAACUUCGGGAAACCGGAGCUAAUACCGUAUAAUAUAUUGAACCGCAGGGUUCAAUAGUGAAAGACGGUGUUGCGGGCACUAAUAGAGGGAUCCGCGCCGCAUUAGCUUGUUGUUAAGGUAACGGCUUACCAAGGCAACGAUGCGUAGCCGACCGGAGUGGGUGGUCGGCCACCCUGGAGCUGAGCCGCGCUCCAGGCUCCUACGGGAGGCACCAGUAGGGAAUCUUACGCAAUGGGCGAAAGCCUGACGGAGCAACGCCGCGUGAGUGAUGACGGUCUUCGGAUCGUAAAACUCUGUUAUUAGGGAAGAACAAAUGUGUAAGUAACUAUGCACGUCUUGACGGUACCUAAUCAGAAAGCCACGGCUAACUACGUG
RNAcentral lists this ribosomal RNA (497 nucleotides) under uncultured bacterium. RNAcentral describes it as "partial 16S ribosomal RNA". It matches the Rfam family "Bacterial small subunit ribosomal RNA", at positions 28 to 507 of the family's 1533-position model. The record is from RNAcentral.